RNAcentral lists this ribosomal RNA (378 nucleotides) under uncultured eukaryote. Its description in RNAcentral is "partial 18S ribosomal RNA". It matches the Rfam family "Eukaryotic small subunit ribosomal RNA", at positions 592 to 976 of the family's 1831-position model. The record is from RNAcentral.
CAAUAGCGUAUAUUUAAGUUGUUGCAGUUAAAAAGCUCGUAGUUGGAUUUCGGGUGGGACGCAGCGGUCUCGCAUUGCGUUUGUACUGCUGCAGCCCUACUUCUUGCCGGGGGCGGCCUCUCGGACUUCACUGUCUGGGGGUCAGAAUCGGCGAUGUUACUUUGAGUAAAUUAGAGUGUUCAAAGCAAGCUUACGCUCUGAAUAUAAUAGCAUGGGAUAACACGACAGGACUCUGGCCUAUCGUGUUGGUCUAUAGGACCAGAGUAAUGAUUAAGAGGGACAGUCGGGGGCAUUCGUAUUCCGUUGUCAGAGGUGAAAUUCUUGGAUUUACGGAAGACGAACAUCUGCGAAAGCAUUUGCCAAGGAUGUUUUCAUUGA